Molecule: ribosomal RNA, 457 nt
Filed under: Lactococcus lactis
Lineage: Bacteria; Bacillati; Bacillota; Bacilli; Lactobacillales; Streptococcaceae
Description: bacterial SSU rRNA
Rfam family: Bacterial small subunit ribosomal RNA
Source: RNAcentral
GACGAACGCUGGCGGCGUGCCUAAUACAUGCAAGUUGAGCGCUGAAGGUUGGUACUUGUACCAACUGGAUGAGCAGCGAACGGGUGAGUAACGCGUGGGGAAUCUGCCUUUGAGCGGGGGACAACAUUUGGAAACGAAUGCUAAUACCGCAUAAAAACUUUAAACACAAGUUUUAAGUUUGAAAGAUGCAAUUGCAUCACUCAAAGAUGAUCCCGCGUUGUAUUAGCUAGUUGGUGAGGUAAAGGCUCACCAAGGCGAUGAUACAUAGCCGACCUGAGAGGGUGAUCGGCCACAUUGGGACUGAGACACGGCCCAAACUCCUACGGGAGGCAGCAGUAGGGAAUCUUCGGCAAUGGACGAAAGUCUGACCGAGCAACGCCGCGUGAGUGAAGAAGGUUUUCGGAUCGUAAAACUCUGUUGGUAGAGAAGAAACGUUGGUGAGAGUGGAAAAGCUCAU